AUACUUACCUGGCAGGGGAAAUACUACGACCACUAAUGUGGCUUUCCUAGUUGCAGAGGAGAACUACUUUUUUGGCAGGGGGUAUUAUCUUGACCCAGGUAAGGCCUCC
This 109-nucleotide small nuclear RNA is filed under the name Crocodylus porosus (Australian saltwater crocodile). RNAcentral describes it as "U1 spliceosomal RNA (ENSCPRG00005001316.1)". Lineage: Eukaryota; Metazoa; Chordata; Crocodylia; Crocodylidae. The record is from RNAcentral.